RNAcentral lists this ribosomal RNA (635 nucleotides) under Klebsiella pneumoniae. RNAcentral's name for it is "partial 23S ribosomal RNA". It matches the Rfam family "Bacterial large subunit ribosomal RNA", at positions 890 to 1527 of the family's 2925-position model. The record is from RNAcentral. Lineage: Bacteria; Pseudomonadati; Pseudomonadota; Gammaproteobacteria; Enterobacterales; Enterobacteriaceae.
UCAUCUUCGGGGGUAGAGCACUGUUUCGGCUAGGGGGUCAUCCCGACUUACCAACCCGAUGCAAACUACGAAUACCGAAGAAUGUUAUCACGGGAGACACACGGCGGGGGCUAACGUCCGUCGUGAAGAGGGAAACAACCCAGACCGCCAGCUAAGGUCCCAAAGUCAUGGUUAAGUGGGAAACGAUGUGGGAAGGCACAGACAGCCAGGAUGUUGGCUUAGAAGCAGCCAUCAUUUAAAGAAAGCGUAAUAGCUCACUGGUCGAGUCGGCCUGCGCGGAAGAUGUAACGGGGCUAAACCAUGCACCGAAGCUGCGGCAGCGACACUAUGUGUUGUUGGGUAGGGGAGCGUUCUGUAAGCCUGCGAAGGUGUGCUGUGAGGGUUGCUGGAGGUAUCAGAAGUGCGAAUGCUGACAUAAGUAACGAUAAAGCGGGUGAAAAGCCCGCUCGCCGGAAGACCAAGGGUUCCUGUCCAACGUUAAUCGGGGCAGGGUGAGUCGACCCCUAAGGCGAGGCCGAAAGGCGUAGUCGAUGGGAAACAGGUUAAUAUUCCUGUACUUGGUGUUACUGCGAAGGGGGGACGGAGAAGGCUAUGUUAGCCGGGCGACGGUUGUCCCGGUUUAAGCAUGUAGGCUG